CAGUCGCCACGGUAAUACGUAGGGUGCAAGCGUUAAUCGGAAUUACUGGGCGUAAAGCGUGCGCAGGCGGUUAUAUAAGACAGUCGUGAAAUCCCCGGGCUCAACCUGGGAACUGCGAUUGUGACUGUAUGGCUAGAGUGUGUCAGAGGGGGGUAGAAUUCCACGUGUAGCAGUGAAAUGCGUAGAUAUGUGGAGGAAUACCGAUGGCGAAGGCAGCCCCCUGGGAUAACACUGACGCUCAUGCACGAAAGCGUGGGGAGCAAACAGGAUUAGAUACCCCAGUAGUCCCUGUCUCUUAUAC
Molecule: ribosomal RNA, 301 nt
Filed under: uncultured bacterium
Lineage: Bacteria
Description: partial 16S ribosomal RNA
Rfam family: Bacterial small subunit ribosomal RNA
Source: RNAcentral